UACGGAGGGAGCUAGCGUUGUUCGGAAUUACUGGGCGUAAAGCGCACGUAGGCGGCUUUGUAAGUUAGAGGUGAAAGCCCGGGGCUCAACUACGGAACUGCCUUUAAGACUGCAUCGCUUGAAUCCAGGAGAGGUGAGUGGAAUUCCGAGUGUAGAGGUGAAAUUCGUAGAUAUUCGGAGGAACACCAGUGGCGAAGGCGGCUCACUGGUCCAUUACUGACGCUGAGGUGCGAAAGCGUGGGGAGCAAACAGG
Molecule: ribosomal RNA, 253 nt
Filed under: uncultured bacterium
Lineage: Bacteria
Description: partial 16S ribosomal RNA
Rfam family: Bacterial small subunit ribosomal RNA
Source: RNAcentral